RNAcentral lists this ribosomal RNA (501 nucleotides) under uncultured bacterium. RNAcentral describes it as "partial 16S ribosomal RNA". It matches the Rfam family "Bacterial small subunit ribosomal RNA", at positions 30 to 523 of the family's 1533-position model. The record is from RNAcentral.
AUUGAACGCUGGCGGCAGGCUUAACACAUGCAAGUCGAGCGGAGAGAGGUAGCUUGCUACUGAUCUUAGCGGCGGACGGGUGAGUAAUGCUUAGGAAUCUGCCUAUUAGUGGGGGACAACAUUUCGAAAGGAAUGCUAAUACCGCAUACGUCCUACGGGAGAAAGCAGGGGAUCUCCGGACCUUGCGCUAAUAGAUGAGCCUAAGUCGGAUUAGCUAGUUGGUGAGGUAAAGGCCUACCAAGGCGACGAUCUGUAGCGGGUCUGAGAGGAUGAUCCGCCACACUGGGACUGAGACACGGCCCAGACUCCUACGGGAGGCAGCAGUGGGGAAUAUUGGACAAUGGGCGCAAGCCUGAUCCAGCCAUGCCGCGUGUGUGAAGAAGGCCUUAUGGUUGUAAAGCACUUUAAGCGAGGAGGAGGCUACUUUAGUUAAUACCUAGAGAUAGUGGACGUUACUCGCAGAAUAAGCACCGGCUAACUCUGUGCCAGCAGCCGCCGUAA